GAUAGGCGAAGCGUGCGAUUUGAUUGCACGUCUAAGCAGUAAGGCUGAGUAUUAGGCAAAUCCGGUACUCGUUAAGGCUGAGCUGUGAUGGGGAGAAGACAUUGUGUCUUCGAGUCGUUGAUUUCACACUGCCGAGAAAAGCCUCUAGAUAGAAAAUAGGUGCCCGUACCGCAAACCGACACAGGUAGUCAAGAUGAGAAUUCUAAGGUGAGCGAGCGAACUCUCGUUAAGGAACUCGGCAAAAUGACCCCGUAACUUCGGGAGAAGGGGUGCUCUUUAGGGUUAACGCCCAGAAGAGCCGCAGUGAAUAGGCCCAAGCGACUGUUUAUCAAAAACACAGGUCUCUGCUAAACCGUAAGGUGAUGUAUAGGGGCUGACGCCUGCCCGGUGCUGGAAGGUUAAGAGGAGUGGUUAGCUUCUGCGAAGCUACGAAUCGAAGCCCCAGUAAACGGCGGCCGUAACUAUAACGGUCCUAAGGUAGCGAAAUUCCUUGUCGGGUAAGUUCCGACCCG
Molecule: ribosomal RNA, 512 nt
Filed under: Escherichia coli
Lineage: Bacteria; Pseudomonadati; Pseudomonadota; Gammaproteobacteria; Enterobacterales; Enterobacteriaceae
Description: partial 23S ribosomal RNA
Rfam family: Bacterial large subunit ribosomal RNA
Source: RNAcentral